GAUGAACGCUGGCGGCGUGCCUAAUACAUGCAAGUCGAGCGAACAGACGAGGAGCUUGCUCCUCUGACGUUAUCGGCGGACGGGUGAGUAACACGUGGAUAACCUACCUAUACGACUGGGGUAAUUUCGGGAAACCGGAGCUACUAACGGAUAAUAUAUUGAACCUCAUUGUUCAAUAGUUAAAUACGGUUUUUCUUUCACUUAUAGAUGAAUCCGCGCCGCAUUAACUAGUUGGUAAGGUAACUGCUUAACAAGGCAACGAUGCGUAGCCGACCUGAGAGGGUGGAUGGACAGCCUGGCACUGAGACUCGGUCCAGACUCCUACGGGAGGACGCAGUAGGGAAUCUUACGCAAUGGGGGAAAGCCUGACGGAGCAACGCCGCGUGAGUGAUGAAGGUCUUAGGAUCGGAAAACUAUGUUAUUAGGGAAGAACAAAUGUGUAAGUAACUAUGAACGUAUUGACGGUACCUAAUCAGAAAGCCACGGCUAACUACGUG
RNAcentral lists this ribosomal RNA (497 nucleotides) under uncultured bacterium. Its description in RNAcentral is "partial 16S ribosomal RNA". It matches the Rfam family "Bacterial small subunit ribosomal RNA", at positions 28 to 507 of the family's 1533-position model. The record is from RNAcentral.